CGGACGGGUGAGUAACACGUGGGAACGUGCCUUUAGGUUCGGAAUAGCUCCUGGAAACGGGUGGUAAUGCCGAAUGUGCCCUUCGGGGGAAAGAUUUAUCGCCUUUAGAGCGGCCCGCGUCUGAUUAGCUAGUUGGUGAGGUAAAGGCUCACCAAGGCUACGAUCAGUAGCUGGUCUGAGAGGAUGACCAGCCACAUUGGGACUGAGACACGGCCCAAACUCCUACGGGAGGCAGCAGUGGGGAAUCUUGCGCAAUGGGCGAAAGCCUGACGCAGCCAUGCCGCGUGAAUGAUGAAGGUCUUAGGAUUGUAAAAUUCUUUCAGUAGGGACGAUAAUGACGGUACCUACAGAAGAAGCCCCGGCUAACUUCGUGCCAGCAGCCGCGGUAAUACGAAGGGGGCUAGCGUUGCUCGGAAUUACUGGGCGUAAAGGGAGCGUAGGCGGACAUUUAAGUCAGGGGUGAAAUCCCAGAGCUCAACUCUGGAACUGCCUUUGAUACUGGGUGUCUUGAGUGUGAUAGAGGUAUGUGGAACUCCGAGUGUAGAGGUGAAAUUCGUAGAUAUUCGGAAGAACACCAGUGGCGAAGGCGACAUACUGGAUCAUUACUGACGCUGAGGCUCGAAAGCGUGGGGAGCAAACAGGAUUAGAUACCCUGGUAGUCCACGCCGUAAACGAUGAUUGCUAGUUGUCG
This 691-nucleotide ribosomal RNA is filed under the name Mycoplana sp. RNAcentral describes it as "bacterial SSU rRNA". It matches the Rfam family "Bacterial small subunit ribosomal RNA", at positions 99 to 825 of the family's 1533-position model. The record is from RNAcentral. Lineage: Bacteria; Pseudomonadati; Pseudomonadota; Alphaproteobacteria; Hyphomicrobiales; Rhizobiaceae.